This 670-nucleotide ribosomal RNA is filed under the name Triumphalisnema zuuei. RNAcentral's name for it is "SSU rRNA". It matches the Rfam family "Eukaryotic small subunit ribosomal RNA", at positions 241 to 911 of the family's 1831-position model. Lineage: Eukaryota; Metazoa; Nematoda; Chromadorea; Rhabditida; Traklosiidae. The record is from RNAcentral.
UACUGGUGACUCUGAAUAGCUAUAGCUGAUCGCAUGGUCCUGUACCGGCGACAUCUCUAUCAAGUGUCUGCCUUAUCAACUUUCGAUGGUAGUUUAUGUGCCUACCAUGGUUGUUACGGGUAACGGAGAAUAAGGGUUCGACUCCGGAGAGGGAGCCUGAGAAACGGCUACCACAUCCAAGGAAGGCAGCAGGCGCGCAAAUUACCCACUCUCGGCAUGAGGAGGUAGUGACGAAAAAUAACGAGACCGUUCUCAUUGAGGCCGGUUAUCGGAAUGGGUACAAUUUAAACCCGUUAACGAAGAUCUAUGAGAGGGCAAGUCUGGUGCCAGCAGCCGCGGUAAUUCCAGCUCUCAAAGUGUAUAUCGUCAUUGCUGCGGUUAAAAAGCUCGUAGUUGGAUCUGAGCUUGGGAACUUGGUCCACCCUUUGGGUGAGUACUGGGCUUCCCGGCCACGUUUUGCUGGUUUUCCCUGCAUUGCCUUCACCGGUUGUGUAGGGUGGCUAGCGAGUUUACUUUGAAAAAAUUAGAGUGCUUAAAGCGGGCUUUAAGUCUGAAUAUUGGUGCAUGGAAUAAUAGAACAGGAUCUCGGUUCUGUUUUUGUUGGUUUUCUGAAUUGAGAUAAUGGUUAACGAGGGACAGACGGGGGCACUGCUAUCGCAUACGUGAGAGG